UUUUGUUAUUGCAUGCAAGGAUAAAUGCGUAAAUCAACUGCAGGUUUUAGCUAUAUGCAUAAGUUAAAUUAGUGUUUAACAAUACCUUCGAAAUCAAGCAUUGUUUCUGGAACCUUUAGGGAUAUUUGAACAAUUGUGAUAUUGUCAAACGCGCAAAAUCACGUUUAAACAUGGAUACAUCUGUAUGCGUGCGCAUACUUUUGAUCAUUAUAAGCAAUGUCUCAAUGGUUCUUCAAGUGAUAGGUCUGGUUGGGCAUAGCUGGUUUGGGUUUUCUUUAACCGUGGAUAACAAUGGACAGAAAAUGACACAAACCAUGCAUGGAGGUCUCCUGUACUUUUCACCACUGAAAGUCUGCCUAGAUGAUGGCAAUGGUUCUAGAUGUAGAACACCCGAACAAAUGACAAUACAGGAGAGAAGGUCAUUCGAAGCGACGAACCAGAUUCUAUCUCGGAGUGUUAUAAUACAGAGGUGUUUGGUUAUAACUGGGCUAACAUCAUCAUGUUGUGGUCUGAUAUUUCUGUUCAUAUAUCUCUUUAUCUUUAAGAAACUUUUCAAACAUAGAUGCUCCGGUAUAACAUCCGCAGUCUUCUGGAUAUUUGCUGGUAAGCUGCACUGCCUGAAUAUAUAGCUAUUGGUGUACAAAUAUUUGCCAACUUCAACAUGAAGAGUUCAAUCGAUGUUAUGGCUCUAUCUGAAGAUGCACUAGGGAUGCACGUUCAUGCAGAAUUUAUUACUCCUUGGGCAGUUAUUCUUCUAGGUGUUGGUUCGAGCUUUGCUGUAGUUACAGGGAUAAUAAUAGCCGUGACAAUGUGUAGGAAGCCUAUCAAUAAAACAGUCAUAUUGUACAGUAAACUACCGGACGGACAGACAGAUAAAGUACAGUUACUGGGACAGGAUAUUUUUAGAUGAUGACUAGGCUGAAA
This is an RNA transcript of Ruditapes philippinarum (Manila clam), 924 nucleotides long. RefSeq lists it as uncharacterized. The record is from RefSeq and is a predicted model, not a curated record. NCBI's taxonomy places the organism in Eukaryota, Metazoa, Mollusca, Bivalvia, Venerida, Veneridae. The transcript has 4 exons.